UCAUCUUAGGUACCCAAGUUUUCUUGGGUCCUUCAUGGUUAGUCAAGUUGGUUCCUUUUGGAACCCAUACCCUUUUAUUUUUUCUUUUAGUUUUACUUUUCCAAAAAUUACAUGCAUUUGCUUUAUGUCCUACUAUUCCACAACAAAAGCAAGUUAUUUUCUUAAUUUUAGUUUUCCCAGCUUUAACAAAGAAGUUACUAAGAAGUUUUUGCUUAUUCCUUGGUUUAUACCCUAAGCCCGCUUUAUUAAAUACUGCACGUUGACUAUUUAGUAUCAUGUUUAAUUUUUCAGAACUAUAUGUAAAUUUUUCAACUAGGGGUUUGUAUUUGUUAAGUUCUUUAGUUAAUGUCUGAUUUUCUGCUUUUAACUCAUUUAGUUCUUUUGUUAGAUCCUUGUUUAAGACUUGUUUAUGGUUUGAAAGUUCCUUAGUUAGUUUUUCAUUAUCUUUAGUUAAGGUAUUAGUUUUCUUAAUUAAGAGUUGGUUGCUUGUUUUUAGUUCUAGAUUUUCUUUGGUAAUAGCAUCUUUAUCCUUAAUUAAAGAGUC
This 544-nucleotide long non-coding RNA is filed under the name Phoenix dactylifera (date palm). RNAcentral's name for it is "long non-coding RNA (PDAC_LNC021175)". The record is from RNAcentral. Lineage: Eukaryota; Viridiplantae; Streptophyta; Magnoliopsida; Arecales; Arecaceae.